Chiloscyllium plagiosum (whitespotted bambooshark) is the source of this 671-nucleotide long non-coding RNA. RefSeq lists it as uncharacterized. Lineage: Eukaryota; Metazoa; Chordata; Chondrichthyes; Orectolobiformes; Hemiscylliidae. The record is from RefSeq and is a predicted model, not a curated record.
GCAUUUAUUAAAAUAGGCACACUUGGAUUCCUGAAAAAUUGCCUUUAUUUCAGGGGGUUUUUUUGCGUUUGUUUUCUCCCCACUUCCUCAGCUCCUCUUUUGUUUUUGUUAAGAAGCCCAAGAGUUCUGAAUAACUGAGGCCACCCUAAUUACGUUUGUUUUCUUGAUGUUCGUUAGUAGGAGGUGAAGCUCAGAAUGAUACAGCUGGGCACCGACGACACAAUCUGUCUGCUUCUGCAAGGUACUUUAAACUGCUCAGGCAGGAAGAACGCUUUCACGCUCAGAAGUAUUUCAAGUGAUGCAUCAACCAGGUGCUGCAAGUUGAAUCAAGUUCUUUCGAAUUGAAGCGCAGUGCGUCUGCUAUCCAGGAAUGUUCCCUGCACAACCCUAUGCUUUCUGACAGGGUUAACUAAUGGCCUACAAAUCGAGUUUGAAGACAGCAGCGAUUACCACUUCGAACGGAAAGUAUCAAAGGCAGUCUGAAUAUUUCCAUUGUGUGGUACAGGCACACAGGAAACAUACUGUGUCUUUAAUGUCUUUAAUGAAUACUAAGUGUACCAGACUCCCUCUUCAGCGUUUAAAAUGAUGUGAGCCAUCGAGAGCAUUUUGUCUGAAUGUAUCACUACCUGGUACGGCAACUCUACUUUUCAAAGUUGGAGACGGUUACAGAG